This 1610-nucleotide long non-coding RNA is filed under the name Marmota monax (woodchuck). Lineage: Eukaryota; Metazoa; Chordata; Mammalia; Rodentia; Sciuridae. The record is from RNAcentral.
CUACAUUUAUCUUUGAGUAAAAGAAAAGGGUAGAGUUUUUUCACACUGUCCCUUAAGAAAGUAACAUUUGUUAUAAGGAUUUCAAAACCAAUUCCCAUUUUCCUCAUUUGAAAUGUAUGAGGCAAGUUUUUUCUUCCCCUUGUAUUUAAACAUUGAGAUUUGUUUUUAAAAUUGGACACCUUUUUCAAAUCUCAACAUAUCUGAUACAACAUUUAACUUUCAUCUAAUGCAGCAUCAAGCCAAGAAUAUUUUUAGAACAUCUAAUGGAUAUGCCAAGGAAUACCAAGAUAAAAAGCACAGUCUCUGCCCUUGGGCUAAUAGUGUAGUGGGACAUUUUAGAGUUAUUUGUACAACUCUAAAUUGAAUGUGUUCUACUUAAACUUUGUCUCCACUGCCAAAUAUCAAAUAAUUGAAAAAGAGAGCCAUACCACUGGUUCAUAAAAUAGAGAGUAUGUAUCUGUGCAGGUCUUUUAAUGUCAUAAUGUCAUCCCAGGAUCCAGGGAGCACCUGUGCACUGUCAGGAAUUUCCUUGUUUAUUUCCAAUUAUUUUGCUCAUUCAGCAAAGAGAGAGUAUGUGUGUUCAAGUAAACUGACAUUUGAUAAUAUUGGUAAAGCAAGUGGAUCAACAGAUGAGACCUGCAGUUGGUAGCAAAUCUAUUUCUUCAGUAAGAAAUUCAUCUAAGAUUCAUAUGCUUUUUGGAGUCCCUCUCUCUCCAGUUUCCAAUUAAUCAUAAGAUUCACAGUAGGUCUAAAAUAGGCACACAGAGAAUAACAAGAGGUAAAUUUAAUUUUGAGUUGAGGGUACUAAAGGACAUCUGAAGAGAGGCCUGGAGUUUAAGUUGGGAUCCUGUGGCCCACUGAGACCAUUUCUGAGCGAUGGGCUUGGCUCCUGUCACUGCCUUCUAACAUGCUGUAUUAGAGAAAAACAGCAACACUUGACCACAGCCUGAGAGACAACUUGAUUCAUUCAAAGGAAAAUUAAAGACUUGAUAGAUGCAGCAAUAAACAACAAAACUCAUCACCAGUUACCUUACUGCAGUUGAAUCUGUAGGCAGACGUUGUUGGUGACUCGCUCAGGCGACUGCAGUCUUCCUGCUGUGCACAAGGAAGGAAGUGCACCCUGACCAAGCUGAUCCUCCUGAGGUGCCUGGGCUUCCGUCGAAAUAGAGCACCUACAUGUGUGUGAGGAGUCCCAGUUCUCUCUGUGAGUCACACCCAUUGUGACGUUGAUGGAUGACUAAGUCUCUUUCAAUGGAUGAGGGAAGCCAAGAAGAUGUAGGUCACGUGUUUCCAAAAGAACCAGAGUAUUCUUGAUAAAUUAAAUAUUGCUGCUUAUAGAAAGAAUCUUACAAAAAAAAAAAAAAAAAAAAAAAGACUGGUACUAUUCUCUUCCCUGGGACCAAAUACUGUAGCUGAAAUAAUGUGACAAGGAAGCAUUGUGUAAUCUGCCUGGUAUAUUGUGUUAAUAAUUUAAUUUUUAAAUUAUGAUUAUUGUUCUUGAUUGAGGUGUUUUCCUUCCUGUUAGCAUGCUUUUGACUAUAUAGUAUUCCUGUCCUCCUAACAGAGUAAGUUGGAGCAAUCAGUCUCUAGUGAUUUUAUUUUAUUUUUUU